UCCAUUCUUCUGUUCCCGGCUUUUUGACUUAGUUCUCAGUUGUCUGGUUGCUAUCAGUUCUCUCACUUAUUUGCCAAGAAUCAAAGAAUAUCUGGAUCAAUUACCUGAUUUUCCCUACAAAGAUGACCUCCUGGCAUUGGACUCCAGCUGCCUGCUAUUCAUUGCUCUUGUGUUCUUUGUGGUAUUUAUCAUUUUUAAAGCUUAUCUAAUUAACUGUGUUUGGAACUGCUACAAAUAUAUCAACAACAGAAACGUGCCAGAGAUUGCCGCAUACCCUGCCUUUGAAGCACUUCCA
This 295-nucleotide long non-coding RNA is filed under the name Marmota monax (woodchuck). Lineage: Eukaryota; Metazoa; Chordata; Mammalia; Rodentia; Sciuridae. The record is from RNAcentral.